UGAGAAAGAAACCAGUACCUAGGAGGAUUGAUGAAGAAAUCGAAGUUAACGGAGAGAGUCGUCGGAGAUGACGUCGGAACCCUAAACCGAAUCAGCGAGUUGCCGGACUCACUCCUUGUUCGAAUUAUCUCUCUUUUGCCGACGACGAACGAUGCUUUCAGAACGUGUCUUGUCUACAAACGGUGGCAGUAUCUCUGGACUUCUAUUGAUAACUUAACUUUAGUCUGUAGAUCCCGUUCUAAAGAAGAAAACUUCGCGUCCUUUAUGGACUAUUUAUUUGCUAAACGUACUUCUUCUAAAAUCAGAAAAUUCCAUCUCGAAAUUUGGGACAUGCCUAGUUACAACUUGCAAAUCAAACAAUGGCUUAGUUAUGUUAUAAAAACAAGGUCGAAGAUGUUCGAUUGAAGUCUAUUUAUAAGAGGUCCUGUUCAUCUUCAGCUCGACGGAGUGCUGUGCAAAUAUUUUUCUAAUGCAGAAUGCCAAUAUAUGGGUAGUUGUUAAUAUAAUAAGCAUAUUGAUGGUUGCCGCUGCCCCGCAUCCAUCUUAUAUCGAUGGUUUCCCGCUGCCCCCUUGAGUCAAGUUAUUUUUGCAAAGUAGAAAAUAUAGAUGUAAAGGGCUGGAUAUCAAACUCUACAUUUCCCUGUCUCAGGAGUGUUAAUAUUAUCUGUUUCACUGGGAUGUGUCAGAAGGAGCACCAUAGUAAGCUUUUUGAACUUACAAUUUCUACUAAAGAAUGCAAUGGUUUUGGAGAAUAAAAUGCUGGAAAUGUGCAGAGAUUUAGCUGUGAAAUUGUUAGCUUGCCCAAGACCCUCCAUCCACUUUACUGUGAUUUUCCGUGACUCAGAUUUCAAUGACUAGAAUGCAAGUGUUAUUAUUUCUCAGCUCACCAGAAAUGGUGCUUUAUGAUAUAUAUUCUUUUUGUGAUGUUACCCUUAUGGGAGUGUAUGCCAGGUGUUAUGGAUACUUGCAUUCUCAUGAAGCGUUUAUUGUUGCAUCUA
This is a long non-coding RNA of Nicotiana attenuata, 998 nucleotides long. RefSeq lists it as uncharacterized. The transcript is spliced from 2 exons. The record is from RefSeq and is a predicted model, not a curated record. Lineage: Eukaryota; Viridiplantae; Streptophyta; Magnoliopsida; Solanales; Solanaceae.